GCAUGCCUGUUUGCCAUUUGUGGUCUCUUCCAAUCCUUCAUUUUACAGAUGGAGAAACUAAGGACAAACAAGAGAGCGUGUACCAAACGUGUUCAGGUCUCUAAGAAAACCUGAAGUCCCUGCCUCCAACCUUCCUCCCCGGCAGAUACCCACACUACAUCCCCUCACUCCUACUGGCUCCCCAGACAACGAGCUGGACAAUAUGACCCAAGAAUCUUACUGCCAAGAUUCACUUCGAUCUGAUUUUACAUGGAAAUAAAUGCAAGUGGAAAGAAAAGAUUUCCAGCAAAAUUUCCCUGAAUUUCU
Molecule: long non-coding RNA, 306 nt
Organism: Nomascus leucogenys (northern white-cheeked gibbon)
Lineage: Eukaryota; Metazoa; Chordata; Mammalia; Primates; Hylobatidae
Exons: 3
Source: RefSeq, a predicted model, not a curated record